AGUGAACGCUGGCGGUAGGCCUAACACAUGCAAGUCGAACGGCAGCACAGUAAGAGCUUGCUCUUACGGGUGGCGAGUGGCGGACGGGUGAGGAAUACAUCGGAAUCUACUUUUUCGUGGGGGAUAACGUAGGGAAACUUACGCUAAUACCGCAUACGACCUACGGGUGAAAGCAGGGGAUCUUCGGGCCUUGCGCGAUUGAAUGAGCCGAUGUCGGAGUAGCUAGUUGGCGGGGUAAAGGCCCACCAAGGCGACGAUCCGUAGCUGGUCUGAGAGGAUGAUCAGCCACACUGGAACUGAGACACGGUCCAGACUCCUACGGGAGGCAGCAGUGGGGAAGAUUGGACAAUGGGCGCAAGCCUGAUCCAGCCAUACCGCGUGGGUGAAGAAGGCCUUCGGGUUGUAAAGCCCUUUUGUUGGGAAAGAAAAGCAGCAGGUUAAUACCCCGCUGUUCUGACGGUACCCAAAGAAUAAGCACCGGCUAACUUCGUG
Molecule: ribosomal RNA, 492 nt
Filed under: uncultured bacterium
Lineage: Bacteria
Description: partial 16S ribosomal RNA
Rfam family: Bacterial small subunit ribosomal RNA
Source: RNAcentral